This 484-nucleotide ribosomal RNA is filed under the name uncultured bacterium. RNAcentral describes it as "bacterial SSU rRNA". It matches the Rfam family "Bacterial small subunit ribosomal RNA", at positions 32 to 525 of the family's 1533-position model. The record is from RNAcentral.
AAUCAACGCUGGCGGCGUGCCUCAGACAUGCAAGUCGAACGAUUAAAGCUCUCUUCGGAGAGUGUAUAGAGUGGCGCACGGGUGAGUAACACGUAAGUAAUCUACCCUCGAGUGGGGAAUAACAACCGGAAACGGUUGCUAAUACCGCAUAAUGCAGCGGCACCGCAAGGUGACAGUUGUUAAAGAUUUAUCGCUUGAGGAGGAGCUUGCGGCAGAUUAGCUAGUUGGUAGGGUAACGGCUUACCAAGGCUACGAUCUGUAACCGGUCUAAGAGGACGGUCGGUCACACUGACACUGAAUAACGGGUCAGACUCCUACGGGAGGCAGCAGUCGGGAAUUUUGGGCAAUGGGCGAAAGCCUGACCCAGCAACGCCGCGUGAAGGGAUGAAGUAUUUCGGUAUGUAAACUUCGAAAGAAUAGGAAGAAUUAAUGACGGUACUAUUUAUAAGGUCCGGCUAACUACGUGCCAGCAGCCGCGGUAAUG